RNAcentral lists this ribosomal RNA (446 nucleotides) under uncultured bacterium. Its description in RNAcentral is "bacterial SSU rRNA". It matches the Rfam family "Bacterial small subunit ribosomal RNA", at positions 331 to 794 of the family's 1533-position model. The record is from RNAcentral.
CCAGACUCCUACGGGAGGCAGCAGUGGGGGAUAUUGCACAAUGGGGGAAACCCUGAUGCAGCGACGCCGCGUGAGUGAAGAAGUAUUUCGGUAUGUAAAGCUCUAUCAGCAGGGAAGAAAAAAGACGGUACCUGACUAAGAAGCCCCGGCUAACUACGUGCCGGCAGCCGCGGUAAUACGUAGGGGGCAAGCGUUAUCCGGAUUUACUGGGGGUAAAGGGAGCGUAGACGGCAGUGCAAGUCUGGAGUGAAAGGCGGGGGCUCAACCCCCGGACUGCUCUGGAAACUGUACGGCUGGAGUGCAGGAGGGGUAAGUGGAAUUCCUAGGGUAGCGGUGAAAUGCGUAGAUAUAGGAGGAACACCAGUGGCGAAGGCGGCUUACUGGACUGUAACUGACGUUGAGGCUCGAAAGCGUGGGGAGCAAACAGGAUUAGAUACCCGAGUACC